RNAcentral lists this small nuclear RNA (101 nucleotides) under Vombatus ursinus (common wombat). The record is from RNAcentral. Lineage: Eukaryota; Metazoa; Chordata; Mammalia; Diprotodontia; Vombatidae.
GGAAUAGCAUUACAUAUACUAACAUUGGAAUGAUACAGAGAAGAUCAGCUUUCUCCCAGCCCAAGGAUGGCACCCAAAUCUGGGAAGUGUUCCAUAGUUUU